Molecule: long non-coding RNA, 532 nt
Filed under: Ananas comosus (pineapple)
Lineage: Eukaryota; Viridiplantae; Streptophyta; Magnoliopsida; Poales; Bromeliaceae
Description: long non-coding RNA (ACOM_LNC000599)
Source: RNAcentral
UGGUGUAAGGCCAUGAAUAAAGAAAAUGCGGCGUUAAGGAAAAAAUAAUAUUUAUGAGUUUGUUGAAUCACCUAUAGAGAAAAAAGUUAUUGGAUUUAAGUAGGUAUAUAAGACGAAAAGGAUAUUGAGAUAUUCGAAAGGAACAAGCGACCACCGAUUGUGGUAUACUAACCCUAACGAUUUUUAUUUAUUUUAAUAGUGAUUGGAUAGAUUAAGUUGACGAUCGAAAACGUAUGAGAAGGUUUGGAGUUAAUACAUUGUGCAACCGAGGAGCAGAUGGCUGAUAUUUUCACAAAGCCGCUACUAAUUGAGAAAUUCAUAUUUUGCCGAGAUUAGAUCGGUGUGAAGAACAUUAGCAUUAUGGGGGAGUGUUAGAGAUAAUGCUAAUGAUUUAUUAGAUUAGGAUUAUAUUAUUUGAUCUUAUCCAUUAAAUUAUUUGGUUAUUUAAAUUGUGAUUAAAAUAAAAUCGAAUCAGAAUAGGAUUUUAUGUAAUUAGUUAUAAAUAGAUAAGCUGGUAUUAAUUAAGCUGAAG